This is a non-coding RNA of Vicugna pacos (alpaca), 4425 nucleotides long. NCBI's taxonomy places the organism in Eukaryota, Metazoa, Chordata, Mammalia, Artiodactyla, Camelidae. The record is from RefSeq and is a predicted model, not a curated record.
CGCCCACUGGUCCGCGGGGUGGGGCCUCGGAAGUCGAGCGUGGAGGCUGAGUGGCUGCUUGCGCCGAGGGGAGCGCCGACUCCGUUUCCCGCGCGUCCCCGGGAGGCCUGGGGAACAGCUGGGCGUCGGGGCCCCGGGAAGGGAGCGGAAGUCAGCGCCGAAGCCGCGGAAGGAAAGGAGGCUGGUGGACGCCCUGCAGCCCAGGUUUAGUUGUGCUCCUGCCUCUGAAACGCGGGCGUGAGACUGGAGUGUGGCCGUGCAGCGCUUUCUGUAGAAAGCAGUGGCCUGGAGCGCACCUCGCUUCUGGUGCUCAGGUCUGAAAGGAGGGAGCUUCAUGGUCCGGGGUUCAGUGUGACUCCUCCGAUUCCCCCAGCCAACCCCUUCAAGGGGCUCCCGGUUCUGAAAGGACACAGGACUUGAAAGAUAUUUGAUGGUGCCAGAAAGGGAAGAAUGUUUGUUUAAGUUGAAGUGAAGACCUUCCUUUUCCUCAGUGGAGCCUCCCAGAUACAAAAGGUGCUUCUGAGAUGUGACCAGGGUUGAGACCCACUGAUGUAAAGGUUAUUACAAGACACUGAAUACAGUUCCCUGUGCUACAUGGUAGGACGCUGUUGUUUAUUCCAAGCUUCUAAUCAUGGCUUGGUCUUUCUAAUGACCAGCUCCCAUCCAGAAGCCCACCCAAAGUCACCUCAUUGGAACAGAAGAUACUCCUAUCAUCCAGGAAAUUCCAAGGGAUUUAGGAGCUCUGUGUCAAGAUCCAGGGUCAAAGACCAAAUAUUUGAACAAAAGAUGUACCUAGUGCUCUUGUCACUUAGGAAAUCACAAGAGUUUUAGGAGCUCUGUGCCAGGAACAGGGGUGGGGGCUGCUGGAGGGAUGGAAGGGGGAGGCAGAGAGCAGGAUAUAUAUUUUGUUAUUUCACAAGUUCCCAAAUCCCUGCCUUGCAUUUGCUUCUCUUUUUAGCUAUGGGUUCAAGUUUACAAUAGUUUGUUGGAUAUCUCCUGAAUAUCGUGUUAGCUCCUCCAACUCAACACAUCUAAAACCAGACUCAAGAUUGUCCAUCCCAUAUCCAUUCCCAUUUUUUAUAUUCCUUAUUCCAGCUUAUCUUUCCAGUUACUAAAGCUGGAAAACUUAGUCAUAUGUGAAUCAUUCUCUCUCUCCCCUCCACAGCUCAGUCAGCUGUCUGGGCAUGCUUAUUUUACUUCCUCUGCCAUGGACUCAUUUAUUAAUUUAUUCUUUUUUUUUGCUUAAAAUAAUAAUCAUGAAAUAUUUCAGGCAAACAAGGUAGUAAUAGAGAACAGUAUCAUAAUGAUAAUAUACUCAGCCUAGUUUAAGUAAACUUGCAAAUACAAAGCCCUGAGGAAAUCCAUUCAGAUCCCACCCUACUCUCCAUACCAAAGGAAAUCACCAUGUAAAAUUUAGCAUUUAUCAUUCCCAUGCAAGAUUUGUUGUUUUACUCCACAUGUAUGUAGCCACAUAUAGGAUAUAAGUUGGCAUGUUUUUAAACUUUAUAUAAACUAUGGUAUAAUGUUUAUCCUGCUAUAACUUUUUUCAAUCAUUAUUUUUGAGAUUUAUCCAUGAUGAAUCAUCUCUUUUAUUUUAAAUGUUAUUUAAUGAAAAUACCACAAUUUAUUAGCCAUUGUGCAUUAUACUGUAUAUAAUGUGUGUGCAUAUAUAGACACACAUUUGUAUAUAUAAUAAAUAUAUGUAUAUGUGUGCACAGUUGCUUUUAUUAUUUUACUCCACCUCUUGAGUUGAAAUGGAGGUAUGACAUGGUGCAGCUUAUUUACUUAUUUUCCAACUGGAGAAGUUCUAUUCCUCAAGGCAGGUAAAAACUGUUUUCAAUAUUUUCUACAGUUCAAUCCAACUUUCUCUCUGCCACUUCAUUCUUUAGUUUUUCCCAUUUUUCUUACCUCCUCUAAGUAGGCUUGCGUAUAGUUAGCUCUUUUGAGAAUAAUUGAUAGAUGUCUGGUUUAUAGGACUAAAGCAUAGAAAAAAAAAUUCCAUUAUAAGAAAGAGAUUUAAUCAUGAAAUAAAGUAUGAAUACACUUCAGGCUGAAGGUUAUUAUUGCUUAUCAUUUAAGGACACUAUACCUUAAUGGCAUCAAGUUAUUUAUUUUUAAGAAAAGUAUUACUGAAGUAUAUUUUUAAGUAUUAUUUAUAAGUAAAGCUACUUAUAAGUUUGCUAAUUUACAGCCAAUAAAAUUUAUGGCAUUCUGUAUUAUUCUAAGAAACAUAAUUAACAAGAUACUUUCUAGCAUUCUAUAUUCUUCUAAGAUUAUUAACAAGGUAGAAAUGCAUAAUCCAUUUUUUCACAGAAAAUUGCAACAACUCAGUAUGUCAGAGGACUAAGCUUACUGGACUGACAUGAAGAUGACUUCAGAAGUGUACCGGAUACUUUGAAAAUUUAGAAUAGCCUGGAUAAAGAGAAUGAGAUUCCUUGAAUUAUAAAAACAUCAGUCCUUUUAUACCAUGGUGAUAUCACUGGCGUGGAGCUUGAAAGAAAAUGAGGUCUAACUCAUUUGGGAAAGGUGAUCUUGAAAGAGGUGUGAACUAAUAUAAGGUCAAAGAAAUUUUAUCAUACAACAUUUAUGGAUUACUUCUAAUUUUUUAAAUUCAUCAUUCAUUUUUCCACAAGAUAAUUGUCUUGACAAUCUUUCUGCUUAAUAUUAAUUAAAUAUUCACGUGUUCGUUAUUGAUUAGAACAUUCAAAAUAAAUAACCCCAACACAAGCAGCUCAUAUUCUAAGAAGACUUGCUUUAAAAAUAGUCUUCCUUAUAGAUACAUAUUUUAUCCAUGUUAUUGUGUUUUCCUUUCUCUUUAUUUUUUACAUAAUGGUUAGGUGAGUCUUUUAAACUGAUCAUUUAAGAAGACUUGAUAUGCUGAUUGGUGAGACUGACAGGUGGGUUUGAAGCCUGAUUCUGCCAUUUAUUUGAAAAGGACAGUGUGCAAGUCUCAUAACCUUGCUAGCCUCAGUUUCCUCAUCCAUAAAAGGAUGAACCUAUGAUACCUCCUAGGGCUGUGAGGAUUAAAGGUGCAAACAAGUUGGCACAUAGCAAAAGCUCAAAGAUGUUACUUCUCCCCUUUGAUAGAUUAAGUAAAAGUAAGACAAGAGACGUGGCUUUUGAGGUAUAUUUUUGAGAGCAGGGAAGAUAUGAAACACGAAGGGGGUUAAGUAUACCUAGUCAAUGUCAACUAAAAUGCUUCUGAAAUAUGACAGUGAUUAUGUAAGUAGAACAAGCUUGAAGAGACUUGAAAUCCAGUGUGCACAGCUUAAAGAGAUUCAGAGGUAGGUAAAAAGGAGGGUCACAGUCAUAGAAACAAAGGUUAUGUUAAAUAGACAUUGAUUUAGGUGGAACUAUACAAAAUUGCCACCUUUUUAGAUAUAAAAUGGUUGAAUAUUGGCAAUUUUAUAUUGUUCACUUAACAGAUGUUCAGGAGGGAAGAAAGGCAGUGGGGGCUGUGAAAGAAAGAGCAAAGCCCCUCAGGUGGGGUGCAGUUAACCAGGGCUGUCACUGGUUUUAAUACAGAAUGGUUAGGCUCUUGCAGCUGUGAAUCAAACAUUAUUUAGUGGCCUCUUCUCCAUGUAGCAAAAAAGGUGAUUGAAGAUGGGUGAAAAAGUUCAUGCCACUGGGUCUAUUGGAAUCUUUGAGGCCCUUUGACAUUUACCACAGUUUCUAAAGGAUUUAAGAGAACUUAGAAAACAUACAAAGUAACAAAUACAAAAACAAAGGAAAUUGAGAAAAAGGGAAAAAAAGGGACAUCCAGAUCUCCUGCUGUGAUGUAAACAUUGGUCAGGAUAGAGCUUCCUCAAAUCAUGUUUGGAAAGGAGAAAGUAUAAAUAAUACCCAGCAGAGUGCUUCCCUUCCUGAUACACAACUGCAAUUUCUGUGUUCCUAUGUAAUGUAGCAGUAGGCGCCAUUGAGAGGCUGUCUUCUACCAAGAAAACAAGUAUCUUUUAAUUAAGAUAAACUAUGUCAAGAUUUGACUACAGUACUGGAACAGCUAAGAAAAGGUGUUCUUUCCAGAGACUAUCUUCAGCUCCAGCCUUAAGACAUUCCAUGAUAAUAACUCUUUUCAGUGCUGUCCGAGCAGGUCCUCUGAAUCUAAUUAUGCAGUAGUGAUACUUUUGGUAUAUGCAUCUCUUAAAAGCACUGCAUUAAAAGCAGAGUAGUUAGGUCUGUUAGGUUACUUUGUCCUUUCAAAAGAUUAGAUGACUUGUUUUUGCAUCUUUUCAGAAUGGACUGUGGACCAACAAAGUUUCAAUACGAUUUUUUCAUUCCAUUUUUCAGUUGGUAUCAAUGAGGAAUUGAAUUCCUGUGGCCAAGAACUUUGCUGUCUCUGGGUUGCUGGACUAAGACUUUGUACAAGGGGCAUGGAUAUAGUAUGCUUAGACCCAUAAAACACAUCCCCACUCCUAGAAAAACACC